RNAcentral lists this ribosomal RNA (119 nucleotides) under Pteropus alecto (black flying fox). The record is from RNAcentral. Lineage: Eukaryota; Metazoa; Chordata; Mammalia; Chiroptera; Pteropodidae.
GUCUACGGCCAUGCCACCCUGAACAAGCCCAAACAUGUCUAAUCUCGGAAGCUAAGCAGGGUCGGGCCUGGUUAGUACUUGGAUGGGAGACCACCUAGGAAGACCAGAUGCUGUAGGUG